This 695-nucleotide small RNA is filed under the name Arabidopsis thaliana (thale cress). RNAcentral's name for it is "ATSL165470". The record is from RNAcentral. Lineage: Eukaryota; Viridiplantae; Streptophyta; Magnoliopsida; Brassicales; Brassicaceae.
AAUUUUUUUGAUGAAUCACUCGAUCGCAAGAUGAGAGUAAAAGCUCGGGAGUGCGAUCUAGUGGUUUUGGGACAACAUCUUUCUUUACGACAAUGUCAAACUACUCGAUCGCAACAUGGAAGUGGUGUGAUCUAGUGGUCUCCUAGUGGAAUUUCUCAAACCACUCAAUCGCAAGGAGAAGUAAAAACACCCGACAGGACUUCAAUGACAACCCGCCUGAAGACAUGCCAUCCAGGUGCCACGACAUUGCCCCACCAAGGCAAUCCAACUAUAAACAGAGGGACCACACCGUUCCGCAAGUUCCCGCAAGGCACUCGUCUCAUGAGCCAAUGGAACACAAGAGGAGGAAGAGUGCUAGAACUAUACAUUCAUCAAGCAAAGGCCGGAUAUUGUCGGGCCGAAGAACACAUGAACGUCAUGCUCCACUACCUGCUGGGGUUGCGAUCGAGCACAAUGACGAGGAGAUGGCAGAGCCACAUCAAGAACCGGUCGUGCCUGCGGAGUACACUCCAGCAUAUAUGGAUGACUACAUCUCCAGGACAUUCUACUGAGUAACACACCCAAACCCUUUGUAAAUACCGCUUUUGUUUUUGUUUCUAUGUUUAUCUUGAAUUCUUUCACAAAUUUUGCUUACACAAGGGACUGUGUAAUUUAAGUUUGGGGGAGGGUUCACUACGUAUCUGACUUGUUUUUUU